UACGGGGGGGGCAAGCGUUGUUCGGAAUUACUGGGCGUAAAGGGCGCGUAGGCGGACAGUUUAGUCAGAGGUGAAAGCCCAGGGCUCAACCUUGGAAUUGCCUUUGAUACUGGCUGUCUUGAGUUCGGGAGAGGUGAGUGGAAUGCCGAGUGUAGAGGUGAAAUUCGUAGAUAUUCGGCGGAACACCAGUGGCGAAGGCGACUCACUGGCCCGAUACUGACGCUGAGGCGCGAAAGCGUGGGGAGCGAACAGG
Molecule: ribosomal RNA, 253 nt
Filed under: uncultured bacterium
Lineage: Bacteria
Description: partial 16S ribosomal RNA
Rfam family: Bacterial small subunit ribosomal RNA
Source: RNAcentral